AGGCAGGCAGAGAGAGAGGAGGAAGCAGGCUCCCUGCUGAGCAGAGAGCCCGAUGCAGGGCCUGAUCCCAGGACCCUGAGAUCAUGACCUGAGCCGAAGGCAGAGGCUUUACCCCACUGAGCCACCCAGGCGCCCAAAACUAGAGUUUUCGAGUGGUCACCAUUCAGGUCUUAUACAGCUCGGGCCACUCAUUAACACGUUGUAAUGUGGUUUCUAUUGUGAAUGGUACAAUGUUUUUACAAAAUCAUGUGUUUGUUCUAGUUAUUUAUUUUUAUGAAUGAUGAGAGUUGUUCCUCUUUCCUUCCAGUCCUAACUCCUUUAAUUUCUUUUUCUUUCCAAAGAGCAUUGUCCAGGGGGUGCCUGGGUGGUGUAGUUGGUUAAGCGUCAGACUCUUGGUUUUGGCUCAGGUCAUGAUCUCAGGGUCAUGGGAUCGAGCCCUGUGUCAGGCUCCACGCCCAGCGGGGAGUCUGCUUGGGAUUCUCUCUCCCCUCUUCCACUACGCCUCCCUCCCCACUCUCUUUAUAAAAUAAGGAAAUCUUUAAAAAUAUAUAACAUUGUCCAGGAUCCCUCCCCCUAGGUUGAACAAAAGUGAUAAAAGGGGCAUCUGUGUCUUGUUCCAACGUGGAAGAGAAGGCGUGUCGUGUUUCUCCAUUGAGUGUAAUGAUUGCUGCAGGGUUUUGGUACAAAAACUAUUAAAUUGUGGAAGUUCUAUUACUAGCCUGCUAGCAGCUUCUUUAAAAAAAUGAUAAAUAGGUUUGUUGGACUUCUCUGGUGUUUUUUGUUUGUUUUACAUCAAGUGAGAUACGAUUGCCCUUCCCUCCUUUUAGCCUUUUAGUCAGGUUUUCUAAGGUUGAAUUGUCCUUGUGAGACCACUGUCCUGGGACCUUCCUGUAGGUGCAGGUCCCAGCAGGUCCCCCCUCUGCAAGACACCCGACUUCCCUCUACCCUAGGACGCUGAUCAUGUGGGCACGAGACUCCUCGCUGCAUCUGCUGGGACAUCAUCAUACGUACCACUGAGAAGUAGGGCUGGGAGCAGUCCUUGGACGGGAACCGCAUGAUCACCUCGCAUUUGUAAAAUACACUAGUGGAUCUAAACAACUUCUGUAAGAAGAAAUCAGUUGUUCCUUGAGAGUGCAGUGUACUUCGUGUGUAACAACAUUGCUGCCGGAAGCCGACUGACGCCGUAACUUCUUUAGUGCUUGUUGGUCUAUUUAAAUUCUCUUGCUUCUUGUGUCGAUUUUGUCAUUUUGAAUUUUUCUAGAAAUUGGUAUAUUUCAAGUCUGGCAGUCCUUUUCAUUUCUUAAGCUUCCCAGUGUCCGUGUCUUCCCACAAACAAGUAGGCCCUUCAGGUGUGUCUCUUUCCCAUUUCGUUCCUUCUUCCUCCAAGCGUGUUGGCAGGGCAGGUCUCUGCCGCUGUCUGUGGUCUUUCCUUAUGUCCCGCAUUUGAAUGGACUUUUGGCCGGAUAUAAAAUUCCUGAUAGGCCCUGCUUCUCCUUUAAUACAUGAAAUAUCGUCACACUG
Molecule: long non-coding RNA, 1521 nt
Organism: Mustela lutreola (European mink)
Lineage: Eukaryota; Metazoa; Chordata; Mammalia; Carnivora; Mustelidae
Exons: 2
Source: RefSeq, a predicted model, not a curated record